Molecule: ribosomal RNA, 427 nt
Filed under: uncultured bacterium
Lineage: Bacteria
Description: partial 16S ribosomal RNA
Rfam family: Bacterial small subunit ribosomal RNA
Source: RNAcentral
UGGGGAAUAUUGGACAAUGGGCGAAAGCCUGAUCCAGCCAUGCCGCGUGUGUGAAGAAGGUCUUCGGGUUGUAAAGUACUUUCAGCGAGGAGGAAGGCGGUAAGGUUAAUAACCUUAUCGAUUGACGUUACUCGCAGAAGAAGCACCGGCUAACUCCGUGCCAGCAGCCGCGGUAAUACGGAGGGUGCAAGCGUUAAUCGGAAUUACUGGGCGUAAAGCGCACGCAGGCGGUCUGUCAAGUCGGAUGUGAAAUCCCCGGGCUCAACCUGGGAACUGCAUUCGAAACUGGCAGGCUAGAGUCUUGUAGAGGGGGGUAGAAUUCCAGGUGUAGCGGUGAAAUGCGUAGAGAUCUGGAGGAAUACCGGUGGCGAAGGCGGCCCCCUGGACAAAGACUGACGCUCAGGUGCGAAAGCGUGGGGAGCAAACA